AGCGAACGCUGGCGGCAGGCUUAACACAUGCAAGUCGAGCGGGCACUUUCGGGUGUCAGCGGCGGACGGGUGAGUAACGCGUGGGAACGUGCCCUCUGGUUCGGAAUAACUCAGGGAAACUUGAGCUAAUACCGGAUACGCCCUUUUGGGGAAAGGCUUGCUGCCGGAGGAUCGGCCCGCGUCUGAUUAGCUAGUUGGUGAGGUAACGGCUCACCAAGGCGACGAUCAGUAGCUGGUCUGAGAGGAUGAUCAGCCACACUGGGACUGAGACACGGCCCAGACCCCUAGGGGGGGAAGCGGGGGGGAAUAUUGGAAAAGGGGGGCAGGCUGGACCCGGCCGUGCCGGGGGAGGGAGAAGGGCUUUGGGGUUGAAAAGUUUUUUUCUCGGGGAGGAAAAUGAGGGAACGGGAGAAAUAAGCCCCGGCAACUUUGGUC
RNAcentral lists this ribosomal RNA (435 nucleotides) under uncultured bacterium. RNAcentral describes it as "partial 16S ribosomal RNA". It matches the Rfam family "Bacterial small subunit ribosomal RNA", at positions 30 to 507 of the family's 1533-position model. The record is from RNAcentral.